UUCUGACUCCGGAUUUUCUAUGAUUUGAAGUGGGAGAACAUUAAUUUACAUGCAAGACUCUUAUUUUGAAACUAAUUUACUCAAGAUCGGUGAAUCCAUAGUUGAGGCAAUUAUCAGGAUGCCACUAGGGGCUGCUGCUGUUCUGAAGUGAUUGUUCUCUGAUGUUUUCUGGGGGCACUCAAACAUGUUCUUGGUAGAUACUUUAAUUGGACUGUUUUACUAAGCAAUUUUUCACGAUGGUCACUUUUAGGGUAAUAGUGCCUUUUGAAGAGCAAAAUAAUAUAUUAUUUUUUAAUCUCUUGUACCUACUGAAUGAUUAGGAACCUAAUUAUUUUGUGCUAACUUUUAGCUAGGCUCAUGGGCCUGGGUGCAGGGUCAGUUCCUUCUCUGUAAAGAAGGAGAGCACUGCCUACAGUUUCUGGAUUACUCUGUGAGGUGAUGAGGAAGCUUCUAAAUGUGCAGCUGCUGCUAAUAAUGGUGUGAACAUUGCAGAUGGCCUGGUUGGUGGUAUGGUGACACUUAUUACACCAUGGUGAAGCAUUAGAACUUCUGGAGCUUACUUAAUCAGAGGCUGUUGAGGAGCAGAGGGGGGGGGGGGGGGACUGCUCCCAUGAAUGCUGUGCAGGUGUGUAACUACACGGAGGUGUCUGAGAUAAUGGGGCAAGUGGCCUACUUAAGAGGGAGUGCUAGUGAAUAAGACACAUACAGUACACCUGUGUGUGAUACUGAAAAGAUGAAUGGUUCUCUUAUGCUCUGAUUUAUUUCACAAAAUCUUUAAAUAUGUCAUGCUUUGUGUGCUGUUAUCUAGGCUUCUUUUUCAGUCUACGUAAUGGGAACAUGUUUCUACCACAAAUUCAAGUUUAAUUGGGUAGAAGUCAUUUUCCAGGUUUAGUUUGCCUUUGUUAAGCUUUUCAUUUACUUUCUUUAUUUGAGAAUGAUACAAAAUAGCUUUUACAGACUGCGUAGCAAAGGAAGUAAUAAUAAAUGAAAGCUUUACUUAUGAAAUUGUUUUUCCCUACAAAGCAGCUCCCUUCCACGUUUGAAGUACUGCUUCCAAUAGCUGCUGCUGAUCUGCUCUACAAAGAUGCGGCAGGACAAAUACAUUCCUACGUGUGUGGAAAAAAAACGGACCAUAUUCUUGUUCUUUUCAGAGGUUAUCGUAUAUAUACUUCAACUGGGCCAAGGAAACUACUUAAUAAAUCUCCAAAU
Molecule: long non-coding RNA, 1209 nt
Filed under: Gallus gallus (chicken)
Lineage: Eukaryota; Metazoa; Chordata; Aves; Galliformes; Phasianidae
Description: lncRNA (ENSGALG00010024294.1)
Source: RNAcentral